Molecule: ribosomal RNA, 433 nt
Filed under: uncultured bacterium
Lineage: Bacteria
Description: partial 16S ribosomal RNA
Rfam family: Bacterial small subunit ribosomal RNA
Source: RNAcentral
AACGAACGCUGGCGGCAUGCCUAACACAUGCAAGUCGAACGAGACCUUCGGGUCUAGUGGCGCACGGGUGCGUAACGCGUGGGAACCUGCCCUUAGGUUCGGAAUAACUCCCCGAAAGGGGUGCUAAUACCGGAUAAUGUCUUCGGACCAAAGAUUUAUCGCCUUUGGAUGGGCCCGCGUUGGAUUAGCUAGUUGGUAGGGUAAAAGCCUACCAAGGCGACGAUCCAUAGCUGGUCUGAGAGGAUGAUCAGCCACACUGGGACUGCGACACGGCCCAGACUCCUACGGGAGGCAGCAGUGGGUAAUAUUGGGCAAUGGGCGAAAGCCUGAUCCAGCAAUGCCGCGUGAGUGAUGAAGGCCUUAGGGUUGUAAAGCUCUUUUACCCGGGAUGAUAAUGACAGUACCGGGAGAAUAAGCUCCGGCUAACUCCGUG